CAUUAGCGGAUUUAAGAGGUUCAUGGGCCCGAAUUCUUAGGGCCGAAUUAAUAAAAAAAAAUGAAAAAUACAUUUAUUUCGGUGAACCGAUCCUUCCGCGUGAACCUGAGGAGGGGAGUUCAAGCCACGCGUCGUGCUCUCAGUCGCUUGCUCCUGCGAGUCUCUCCUUCGCCAUCUCCGACCAGUCACUGCAAACUCGUUUCCUCCUCCCACUGACUUGCCGGAUCUGGUGUCUCCAACAAACUCCGGCGGAGUAAAACCCUAAAUCGACUCUUUACUUUUUUCGCCGCCGACCAAAGGGAAUGAAGGUGUUCCAUCUCGACCGCGAAAACACUCUCUCUGUUUCUCUCUUCUCCGAUGUCACCAACUCCAAACGAAGGAGGACUUCAUGGAAGAUAAUAUCAAGGUGGGAGAUAGAUGCCAAGUUGAGCCCGGGGAGAAAAGGGGAGUGGUCAAAUACGUUGGACGAGCAGAGUCGUUGGGUCCUGGCUAUUGGGUUGGAAUCCAGUAUGAUGAACCUCUUGGAAAACACGAUGGCAUAAUCAUUGAAACGAUGUAGGAUAUCUCAAAGCUCUACUUACAUUCUAGCUGCCCGGUUCAAUGCUUCUCCCCUUGAGCUUCCUCUUUCGCUACUCAAGACUGCUCAAGGACAUCCCAUGCUUGUGGAGCUCAAGAAUGGAGAGACCUACAAUGGGCAAUUAUUAUAGUCUUCUAUAUGAAAGUUAUGUGUUCUCUUAAAGUUACCACUAUUAUUAUGAGCAUUAGGUUGAUUCUGAUCAAUAGACAUUUGCCUUCAUAUUGAAUAAAAACUUUUAUUUUUUUUUUCUAAAAUAUUUUAUUUUAUUUUUAUGAA
Raphanus sativus (radish) is the source of this 853-nucleotide RNA transcript. RefSeq lists it as uncharacterized. The transcript has 6 exons. The record is from RefSeq and is a predicted model, not a curated record. Lineage: Eukaryota; Viridiplantae; Streptophyta; Magnoliopsida; Brassicales; Brassicaceae.